Rattus norvegicus (Norway rat) is the source of this 465-nucleotide non-coding RNA. Lineage: Eukaryota; Metazoa; Chordata; Mammalia; Rodentia; Muridae. The record is from RefSeq and is a predicted model, not a curated record.
UCUUCCCUCCUGAAGUUCCUCCAAGUAUCCUUGGCCAUUGGUCAGGGGUCCCAUUAGAGAAACAUAUCUAUGUGUGUUUAUCAUCGUCAGUAAUGAAUAUGCUGCCAGCAACUGGUGGCCAGCCCCUGAAGGUGUCAUCAUGAACAAAAUGACAGAGGAGGACCCUAGGUGAUACAAACUUUGGCGAUGUGUGUCUGAAUGUGACAAUCCCCCAGAAAGUGGUGUUCUCGAAGUAUGGCAGGCAGAUGGGAGCACGAACCUGCAGCUUUUACCAAUUAUUGGCGGUGUGAAAUUGGUUUCUGCUUCAAGUUCCUGCCCUGAUUCCCUCAAUGAUGCACUGUGAUUUGAAAGUAAGUGAUGUAAAGAAAGAAAAGUCAUAACUAUAUGACAGGAAGAGACACUACAGCAUCAGUUUAGAAGUUGAGAAGAACACUGACCUUGGAAUAAUAAAAAGUUCUCUGCUAA